GCAUAUCAAUAAGCGGAGGAAAAGAAACCAACAGGGAUUGCCCUAGUAACGGCGAGUGAAGCGGCAACAGCUCAAAUUUGAAAUCUGGCUCCUUUGGAGCCCGAGUUGUAAUUUGUAGAGGGCGCUUUGGUGUUGGCAGCGGUCCAAGUUCUUUGGAACAGGACGUCACAGAGGGUGAGAAUCCCGUACGUGGUCGCUAGCCUUCGCUAUGUAAAGCCCCUUCAACGAGUCGAGUUGUUUGGGAAUGCAGCUCUAAAUGGGAGGUAAAUUUCUUCUAAAGCUAAAUACUGGCCAGAGACCGAUAGCGCACAAGUAGAGUGAUCGAAAGAUGAAAAGCACUUUGGAAAGAGAGUCAAAUAGCACGUGAAAUUGUUGAAAGGGAAGCGCUUGCAGCCAGACUUGCCUGUAGUUGCUUAUCUAGGCUUUUGUCUAGUGCACUCUUCUGUGGGCAGGCCAGCAUCAGUUUAGGCGGUUGGAUAAAGGUCUCUGUCAUGUACCUCUCUUUGGAGAGGCCUUAUAGGGGAGACGUCAUGCAACCAGCCUAGACUGAGGUCCGCGCAUCUGCUAGGAUGCUGGCGUAAUGGCUGUAAGCGGCCCGUCUUGAAACACGGACCAAGGAGUCUAACAUCUAUGCGAGUGUUUGGGUGUCAAGCCCAAACGCGUAAUGAAAGUGAACGGAGGUGGGAACCCUUUGGGUGCACCAUCGACCGAUCCUGAUGUCUUCGGAUGGAUUUGAGUAAGAGCAUGGCUGUUGGGACCCGAAAGAUGGUGAACUAUGCUUGAAUAGGGUGAAGCCAGAGGAAACUCUGGUGGAGGCUCGCAGCGGUUCUGACGUGCAAAUCGAUCGUCAAAUUUGGGCAUAGGGGCGAAAGACUAAUCGAACUAUCUAGUAGCUGGU
Molecule: ribosomal RNA, 898 nt
Filed under: Ampelomyces quisqualis
Lineage: Eukaryota; Fungi; Ascomycota; Dothideomycetes; Pleosporales; Phaeosphaeriaceae
Description: eukaryotic LSU rRNA
Rfam family: Eukaryotic large subunit ribosomal RNA
Source: RNAcentral